GUAGGUGGCAAGCGUUGUCCGGAAUUAUUGGGCGUAAAGCGCGCGCAGGCGGUCCUUUAAGUCUGAUGUGAAGGCCCACGGCUCAACCGUGGAGGUCAUUGGAAACUGGGGGACUUGAGUACAGGAGAGGAAAGCGGAAUUCCAAGUGUAGCGGUGAAAUGCGUAGAGAUUUGGAGGAACACCAGUGGCGAAGGCGGCUUUCUGGUCUGUAACUGACGCUGAGGCGCGAAAGCGUGGGGAGCAAACAGGGAUUAGAUACCCUGGUAGUCCACGCCGUAAACGAUGAGUGCUAGGUGUUAGGGGUUUCCCGCCCCUUAGUGCUGCAGCUAACGCAUUAAGCACUCCGCCGUGGGGUAGUACGGCCGCAAGGCUG
RNAcentral lists this ribosomal RNA (373 nucleotides) under uncultured organism. Its description in RNAcentral is "partial 16S ribosomal RNA". It matches the Rfam family "Bacterial small subunit ribosomal RNA", at positions 527 to 896 of the family's 1533-position model. The record is from RNAcentral.